Molecule: long non-coding RNA, 565 nt
Filed under: Glycine max (soybean)
Lineage: Eukaryota; Viridiplantae; Streptophyta; Magnoliopsida; Fabales; Fabaceae
Description: long non-coding RNA (GMAX_LNC001758)
Source: RNAcentral
AAAGAAAGAAGGAAUACCAAAAUCAGAUGCUGAAUAGUUGCAAUCAGCGAUAGUAGACCCUGCAAGCAGAGACGACUGCAAGAAUCAACUAAGAGGCUGAGACCAUGUGAAGAAAUGGAGAAGGAGAAGGACAACCGAAAGGGAAACAUGCAUAACAUCCCAUGUGUGCCUCUGUUGUAUGUCUCUCUCGUUAAAAUAUAUAGAGAAAGUGUCCUAUUCCUUGUUUGUUUCAAGUAUAAUAGAAGCUGGCUACUGUGCGGUGCGGACAUAAAUGUAGCUUCAAUGUGCUCAACAAACACAAAUGCCUCAAAAUUAAUGAUAGGUUCAUUGAACCUAAAAUUGGAAUGUCCAUAAACUCUUUUUGCCUACUUAAUUUAUUAAGGCUCUCUUUUCUAGUUUUAGUAAAAAGUCUCAGAUUUGACAGCACCCAUUAUUUUUUCAAUGAUAUUGUGUUAAGUAGGGUUCCUCCACUUUACUAUCGCGUAUUUCAGAACAAACCACUCUAUUGAUUAGCAUCUUAGCUUAAUUAAGACAGAAUUAUGACUUUGGUUUAUGAUAUCCUUGC